CAAACUGAAGCGUCACAAUAGACCACAGAUCCACAUCACACAGAGCUACAAGGUGAAUGCCUCGGGAUUCUCCUCCCUGUAGCUCAUAACAGCAGCUCCACACAAUGAUCAGGCAGCAAAACAUCCACGUCUCGUUUUCCAUCUUUCUCCUGUGGACAUCAGGUUGUGUCGGUGGGAGCGAUGUUUCCCAAACCCCGAUGGUGUGGAAGUCUGUGGGUCAAGAUGCAACGAUGGAGUGCAGCCAUACCAAGGGUGCUGCCUAUUACCAGAUGUACUGGUACCGGCAGCUGCCUGGAGAAACAAUGAAACUCGUCGUGUUCACGUCGACGGCUUCAAAAGACCAUGACUUUGGGGAUUUCAGUAAAGAGAAAUUCUCAGCGUCCAAGACUGAACCUGAGAGAGGAUCGUUCACAGUGAAGAACCUGGAGGCAGAAGACAAAGGCUUGUACUUCUGCGCUGUGAGUCAACACAGUGAUGAAACCACAUGGGAGAGAUGA
Molecule: non-coding RNA, 497 nt
Organism: Xiphophorus couchianus (Monterrey platyfish)
Lineage: Eukaryota; Metazoa; Chordata; Actinopteri; Cyprinodontiformes; Poeciliidae
Source: the annotation of a RefSeq genome assembly